Molecule: ribosomal RNA, 385 nt
Filed under: uncultured bacterium
Lineage: Bacteria
Description: bacterial SSU rRNA
Rfam family: Bacterial small subunit ribosomal RNA
Source: RNAcentral
GACGAACGCUGGCGGCGUGCCUAAUACAUGCAAGUCGAGCGAACAUUUGAGAGCUUGCUCUCAAAUGUUAGCGGCGGACGGGUGAGUAACACGUGGGCAACCUGCCUAUAAGACUGGGAUAACUUCGGGAAACCGGAGCUAAUACCGGAUAAUUCACAUCUACUCAUGUAGAUGUGCUGAAAGAUGGCUUACGCUGUCACUUAUAGANGGGCCCGCGGCGCAUUAGCUAGUUGGUGAGGUAACGGCUCACCAAGGCCACGAUGCGUAGCCGACUGAGAGGGUNAUCGGCCACACUGGGACUGAGACACGGCCCAGACUCCUACGGGAGGCAGCAGUGGGGAAUCUUGCGCAAUGGGCGAAAGCCUGACGCAGCGACGCCGCGUGA